Molecule: ribosomal RNA, 119 nt
Filed under: Trichuris muris
Lineage: Eukaryota; Metazoa; Nematoda; Enoplea; Trichinellida; Trichuridae
Source: RNAcentral
GUCCACGAUCAUACAACGUAGAAUCCCCAGCAUCCCGGCAGAUCUGCGUAGCAAAGUAACGUUAAGCCGAGAAAGCACCAUGGCUGGAGACAACAUGGAAACCCUCGGUAGAGUAGACA